UCAAAACAGCGGCCUUCGGGCCUCGCUGCACCCUUGUCUUUUGCGCACCGUAUUGUUUCCUCGGCGGGCUUGCCUGCCGGUUGGACAUCACUAAAACCUCUUUGUAGUUGCAAUCAGCGUCAGAAAAACAAUAAUUAUUA
RNAcentral lists this unclassified non-coding RNA (140 nucleotides) under soil metagenome. Its description in RNAcentral is "partial internal transcribed spacer 1". The record is from RNAcentral.